UACGGAGGAUGCAAGCGUUAUCCGGAAUGAUUGGGCGUAAAGCGUCCGCAGGUGGUUGGGUGAGUCUAUUGUCAAAGCAUCAUGCUUAACAUGAUAAAGGCAGUAGAAACUACACGACUUGAGUGCGUUCGGGGCAGAUGGAAUUCCUGGUGUAGCGGUGAAAUGCGUAGAGAUCAGGAAGAACACCGGUGGCGAAAGCGCUCUGCUAGGCCGCAACUGACACUGAGGGACGAAAGCUAGGGGAGCGAAUGGG
This 253-nucleotide ribosomal RNA is filed under the name uncultured bacterium. Its description in RNAcentral is "partial 16S ribosomal RNA". It matches the Rfam family "Bacterial small subunit ribosomal RNA", at positions 524 to 776 of the family's 1533-position model. The record is from RNAcentral.